UAUAAUGAAAUGAUGAAGAAAAUUCUAAGAAAUCAAGUGUUGCUCACAUUGCGUUUAUGUAAUUACCAUCUCAUUUAUGUGGGUUUGUAAUUUGUAAAUAUUUAUUUGGGAAGUAAUACGGUUAAGAAUAGGGAGACAAAUAUAAGUACUAGUAGGUUAUGCAUUUUUUUUUUUAAAAAAAAAAAGGAAAAAGCAAAAGGGUCAAAAAUCCCAAUUACAAAAUUCAAAAAAUUCUAUGUUUGUAAACUAAUACCUAUUCAAACUCUAUGCUCUCUUAAAUCAUUACUCUAUUAGUAAAUAGUAACUUUAUAGUGACAUUUUCAAAUCUCAAACAUAAGAAAGAGAAGUAAUAAACAAAGAAAAUUAGAUUUUUUUUAUUAUUAGCUUGAUCAUGAUGAUUGUCAUUUCCACUACUUAUUUUAAUAGUUUUUUUUUAAUGUUACUAUAAGUGUUUUAAUUACUAGCAAGGAUCGUUGCAAAGUUAACGUGGUCAUUUUAAAUUAGAAGAGUGAGCAUUGGAUGUUGAUAUUAUUUGUGCCCGACUCUUGUUGGUUAUGUUUCAUGGAUCCUAAAACUCACACUUGAGUAAUUGACCUGAUAUUAGAGACACGGUCACAUUGACAUUUCAAGCUUCGAACCGGAAACACUUUUUGGCCGAGUUAAGUGAUGCAAAGUAUAUAGAAGAAGAAAUUGAUGAAGUCAAAGAGCAUUGGGCAAGUGAGACGUUAUCGGUUAUUCAAACUUACCGACGUUAGUUGUUUUUUGUUUUAAUAGACCAAUGGACAAGUGAGAUGUUAUCAGUUAUUUAAACUUACUGACGUUAGUUAUUUUUUGUUUUAAUAGACCAAUAAUUAUUAUAUAAUUUUAUAGUUAUGGAUUUAUUGGUAUAAUGAAUUAAUAUGUAAUAUUUAUUAGUUUUGUUGAUGUGAA
Long non-coding RNA from Cannabis sativa, 930 nucleotides. RefSeq lists it as uncharacterized. The transcript has 3 exons. NCBI's taxonomy places the organism in Eukaryota, Viridiplantae, Streptophyta, Magnoliopsida, Rosales, Cannabaceae. The record is from RefSeq and is a predicted model, not a curated record.